UGGGGAAUAUUGCACAAUGGGCGCAAGCCUGAUGCAGCCAUGCCGCGUGUAUGAAGAAGGCCUUCGGGUUGUAAAGUACUUUCAGCGGGGAGGAAGGGAGUAAAGUUAAUACCUUUGCUCAUUGACGUUACCCGCAGAAGAAGCACCGGCUAACUCCGUGCCAGCAGCCGCGGUAAUACGGAGGGUGCAAGCGUUAAGCGGAAUUACUGGGCGUAAAGCGCACGCAGGCGGUUUGUUAAGUCAGAUGUGAAAUCCCCGGGCUCAACCUGGGAACUGCAUCUGAUACUGGCAAGCUUGAGUCUCGUAGAGGGGGGUAGAAUUCCUGGUGUAGCGGUGAAAUGCGUAGAGAUCUGGAGGAAUACCAGUGGCGAAGGCGGCCCCCUGGACGAAGACUGACGCUCAGGUGCGAAAGCGUGGGGAGCAAACAGG
RNAcentral lists this ribosomal RNA (429 nucleotides) under Chloroflexota bacterium. Its description in RNAcentral is "Chloroflexi bacterium partial 16S ribosomal RNA". It matches the Rfam family "Bacterial small subunit ribosomal RNA", at positions 355 to 776 of the family's 1533-position model. Lineage: Bacteria; Bacillati; Chloroflexota. The record is from RNAcentral.